UACGAAGGGGGCUAGCGUUGUUCGGAUUUACUGGGCGUAAAGCGCGUGUAGGCGGGCUUGUAAGUUGGGGGUGAAAUCCCGAGGCUCAACCUCGGAACUGCCUCCAAAACUACAAGCCUGGACCUAAAGAGAGGCGAGUGGAAUUGCGAGUGUAGAGGUGAAAUUCGUAGAUAUUCGCAGGAACACCAGUGGCGAAGGCGACUCUCUGGUCUGUAACUGACGCUGAGGCGCGAAAGCGUGGGGAGCAAACAGG
This 253-nucleotide unclassified non-coding RNA is filed under the name uncultured Hyphomonadaceae bacterium. RNAcentral describes it as "contains 16S-23S intergenic spacer region". It matches the Rfam family "Bacterial small subunit ribosomal RNA", at positions 524 to 776 of the family's 1533-position model. The record is from RNAcentral. Lineage: Bacteria; Pseudomonadati; Pseudomonadota; Alphaproteobacteria; Hyphomonadales; Hyphomonadaceae.